Non-coding RNA from Cordylochernes scorpioides, 90 nucleotides. The record is from the annotation of a GenBank genome assembly. NCBI's taxonomy places the organism in Eukaryota, Metazoa, Arthropoda, Arachnida, Pseudoscorpiones, Chernetidae.
GUCAGAAUGACCACUGCGUUCAGGUCUAAGGCGCUGUGUUCAGGUCGCAGUCUACUCUUGUAGGCGUGGGUUUGAAUUCCACUUAUAACA